UGUCAAAAGACAACAACCGACCACUAUAUGAAAAAUUCUUACAAUCACAUAAACCUUAGUAUUUUCUCCUAACAAAAAGUGUUAGAAAUACAUUUGGUUUGGUACAUUUGAAGACAUAACUUAAGUCCCCUUAUAUAGGCGAGCCUCCAAGCUACUCUUCAACAUUUUUCCAAUGUGGACAAUGACCAUUCUCAUUUUUAAGCAAAAUCCCAACAAACUCCACCUUGAUUAAAAAUGAUCAUAGCAGCAGCUAUCCGUCAUACUCCACAUUGCUGAACACCUGUCAUACUCCACCAUAAAGAGUAUCGCCACUUAGAAUAAACCAUUUUAAGAAUUUCCACUUCGGCUCAUGUCGAAAUACACCUUGCUGAUUAUUAUGGUGCAACUUCCACUAUUGGCUCUCCUUGGAAGUUCAUCAGCUAUCGACAUAAUUGUUUCAUCACACACCUUGCAUUCCUGCCAAACCAAUGCC
This 472-nucleotide long non-coding RNA is filed under the name Nicotiana benthamiana. RNAcentral's name for it is "long non-coding RNA (NBEN_LNC031569)". The record is from RNAcentral. Lineage: Eukaryota; Viridiplantae; Streptophyta; Magnoliopsida; Solanales; Solanaceae.